UAGGCGGGCUGGAACCUCUCGGGGUUACAGCCUUGCUGAAUUAUUCACCCUUGUCUUUUGCGUACUUCUUGUUUCCUUGGUGGGUUCGCCCACCACUAGGACAAACAUAAACCUUUUGUAAUUGCAAUCAGCGUCAGUAACAAAUUAAUAAUUACAACUUUCAACAACGGAUCUCUUGGUUCUGGCAUCGAUGAAGAACGCAGCGAAAUGCGAUAAGUAGUGUGAAUUGCAGAAUUCAGUGAAUCAUCGAAUCUUUGAACGCACAUUGCGCCCUUUGGUAUUCCAAAGGGCAUGCCUGUUCGAGCGUCAUUUGUACCCUCAAGCUUUGCUUGGUGUUGGGCGUCUUGUCUCUAGCUUUGCUGGAGACUCGCCUUAAAGUAAUUGGCAGCCGGCCUACUGGUUUCGGAGCGCAGCACAAGUCGCACUCUCUAUCAGCAAAGGUCUAGCAUCCAUUAAGCCUUUUUUUUCAACUUUUGACCUCGGAUCAGGUAGGGAUACCCGCUGAACUUAAGCAUAUCUAA
This 521-nucleotide ribosomal RNA is filed under the name fungal sp. GQGC2. RNAcentral describes it as "eukaryotic LSU rRNA". The stretch from base 156 to 309 matches the Rfam family "5.8S ribosomal RNA". Lineage: Eukaryota; Fungi. The record is from RNAcentral.